Molecule: non-coding RNA, 44 nt
Filed under: Trypanosoma brucei brucei
Lineage: Eukaryota; Euglenozoa; Kinetoplastea; Trypanosomatida; Trypanosomatidae
Source: RNAcentral
AUAAAAUGUAUUUAUUAACAGAUUAAGUAGAUGUGAGAGAUAUA